RNAcentral lists this transfer RNA (86 nucleotides) under Acidimicrobiales bacterium. Its description in RNAcentral is "tRNA-Ser". It matches the Rfam family "tRNA". Rfam says of the family: Transfer RNA (tRNA) molecules are approximately 80 nucleotides in length. Their secondary structure includes four short double-helical elements and three loops (D, anti-codon, and T loops). Further hydrogen bonds mediate the characteristic L-shaped molecular structure. tRNAs have two regions of fundamental functional importance: the anti-codon, which is responsible for specific mRNA codon recognition, and the 3' end, to which the tRNAs corresponding amino acid is attached (by aminoacyl-tRNA synthetases). tRNAs cope with the degeneracy of the genetic code in two manners: having more than one tRNA (with a specific anti-codon) for a particular amino acid; and 'wobble' base-pairing, i.e. permitting non-standard base-pairing at the 3rd anti-codon position. Lineage: Bacteria; Bacillati; Actinomycetota; Acidimicrobiia; Acidimicrobiales. The record is from RNAcentral.
GGAGGGAUGCGAGAGCGGACGAAUCGGCACGCCUGGAACGCGUGUGUGGCCCCUGGUCACCGUGGGUUCGAAUCCCACUCCCUCCG